This 694-nucleotide ribosomal RNA is filed under the name Episinus nubilus. Its description in RNAcentral is "partial large subunit ribosomal RNA". The stretch from base 323 to 694 matches the Rfam family "Eukaryotic large subunit ribosomal RNA", at positions 1 to 864 of the family's 3401-position model. The record is from RNAcentral. Lineage: Eukaryota; Metazoa; Arthropoda; Arachnida; Araneae; Theridiidae.
GGGUGGGCCCUCGAAAUCCUGGGCGGGAGGAUUCAGUCGGAGGACUGGGACUCUGCGGCUGCACGUUAUGGUUCCGUCACCGGACCGCUACGGCUGCUCUGUCUCGUCGGCACGACGCAUUUCCUUCCCGUCCUAGAGGACGCCGCGACCGGUUGGGAGGUGGCCUUAGGGUCGGACGCUGACGGGUGGCCGGUGGCGAUCUUCGGGUCGUCGCCGGUGUCUGGUCGGUCCGGCAGUGGCGCGCAUCCCGACCGCGGAUCGGGUCCCUUCCAUGGGACCUCGACCGCCGCCUCUGUAAAACAGAACCGGACAGAAGCGGCAGUGGUUCAAGCCGAUGCGGGCGCACAGACUGACUCUGUGGCCGCGCGUUGGGCGGUCCACGAUGGUUGCUCGGAGUCCGUUGGCGGCUGGCGGUCUGCGGCGAGUAGGUCGGUCACCCACCCGACCCGUCUUGAAACACGGACCAAGGAGUCUAACAUGUAUGCGAGUCAAUGGGUCUCGAUUAAGCCCAGAGGCGCAAUGAAAGCAAAUGCCGGACGAGACGCCGGUAGAGUUGGGAUCCCGGCGCUCACGCGUCGGGCGCACCAACGACCCGUUCCGUCAGAUUCAUUCUGUGGAGCGGAGUGUGAGCAUACACGUUGGGACCCGAAAGAUGGUGAACUAUGCCCGGGCAGGACGAAGCCAGAGGAAACUC